Molecule: unclassified non-coding RNA, 1058 nt
Filed under: Hevea brasiliensis (rubber tree)
Lineage: Eukaryota; Viridiplantae; Streptophyta; Magnoliopsida; Malpighiales; Euphorbiaceae
Source: RNAcentral
AUCUUAGCAUCCCUCAAGCAUUUCUCAACUGGCUCCAUGCACUUGCGGAACAGGUCCAUGUUCAGCUCCUCGAAUCUGGCCCUCGUGAUGGUGGAGUAGAAAUCAAUUCCCUCGUAGAGGGAAUCAAUCUCAAUUGUGGUCUGGGCAGUGGAGGAGAGGGUCCUCUUCGCCCUCUCACAGGCGGUGCGGAGACGCCGCAGAGCACGAGGGUUGCCGCUGAUGUCCUUCUUGUGUUUACGCUUGAACUCCUGCACGAAGUGGUUAACCAUCCUGUUGUCGAAGUCCUCACCGCCGAGAUGUGUGUCACCAGCAGUGGCCUUCACCUCAAAGAUGCCUUCCUCAAUGGUGAGGAGGGAGACAUCGAAGGUGCCACCACCGAGGUCAAAGAUGAGGACAUUCUUCUCACCGGAGCUGGUGGCCUUCUUGUCGAGGCCGUAGGCGAUGGCAGCAGCAGUGGGCUCGUUGAUGAUGCGGAGGACGUUGAGGCCAGCAAUGGCACCGGCAUCCUUGGUGGCCUGGCGCUGGGAGUCGUUGAAGUAGGCAGGGACGGUGACAACAGCAUUAUUGAUGCUGCGGCCAAGAUAGGCUUCAGCUAUCUCCCGCAUCUUGAUGAGGAUCAUAGAGGAGAUCUCUUCAGCAGAAAACUGCUUCUCCUCGCCCUUGUAGUGGACGACGAUCAUUGGCUUGUCACCCGGGCCGGGAAUGACCUUGAAGGGCCACAGCUUCAUGUCGGCCUGAACAGAGGGGUCGCUGAAGCGACGGCCAAUCAGCCGCUUGGCAUCGAAGACGGUGUUAGUGGGGUUCAUGGCGACCUGGUUCUUCGCGGCAUCGCCGAUGAGCCUCUCUGUGUCGGUGAAGGCGACAUAGGAGGGGGUGGUGCGGUUGCCCUGAUCAUUCGCGAUAAUUUCCACCCGAUCGUGCUGCCACACGCCGACGCAGGAGUAGGUGGUGCCGAGGUCGAUCCCGAUCGCCGGACCCUCGCCCUUGCCCGCCAUGGAUCUAAGCUGAGCUGCCUGUGCUGGUUGCAGAGAAAGCUUUUUGUGAGCUAGAGAUUGCUU